Long non-coding RNA from Ochotona princeps (American pika), 1174 nucleotides. RefSeq lists it as uncharacterized. The transcript is spliced from 6 exons. NCBI's taxonomy places the organism in Eukaryota, Metazoa, Chordata, Mammalia, Lagomorpha, Ochotonidae. The record is from RefSeq and is a predicted model, not a curated record.
CCGCGCUCGCCGGGCAGAGCGCGUGCGGCCGCCGAGCACAUGGGCCCGCGGGCCAGCCGGGCUCGGGGCGGCCGGGACGAGGAGGAGCAGCGAGGAGCCGCUAGCAGCCGCGGGUCUGGGCUCUCCCGGCACCAGCGAGUGGAUUUCCACGCGGAAAGGAUGCGGGCGCCUGGGUGACCCGUAAAGACACGGCAGGAGCCACCUUCCACCAAAGACUGGAGCCACUCAGAUAUCUGCGACUGGAGGACUGGUUCAGGAAAUGACACGCGGUGCAGUGGACUGGAUCUAGAAGAGAAUGAGGAAGUGCUUUGUGGACGACCAGGGUGAGCUGAAACCUGCUCUCAUGGUACUACAAAGAAACAACAUGAACUGACCCAGCGGAAUCGCCACUUCCCUGCUCGUCAGAGACCGAUCAAGGAGGCACCCCGUUUGUGGUAUCAGUUGUGAAGAAAUCUGAGAGACGACACAGGCCAGCUGGGAUGGUGAGAGCGGUAAUGACUUGGAUCUCGCUGCACGCGGCCACUUCCUCAUCUCCCGUAGUGCAGAUGGAGUCAGGAUAAAAAGCUUGGAGAGCUUUGUUGUGUCUCAGCUACUGCACCUGCAUGCUGAAGCAUCAAACCAGGGCCCCGUACGGUGUCUCAUCUACUUGGAAGCCUCUGAUUCCAGCCGGCUGCCUGUGGCAGGGGACACCUCCAGGAGUCUCUCAUCUGCUUUUGUUUCUGCGUGUUCACACAUUCCUUUUGGAGAGGCCAGAAUCCUGUUAUACCAGUGAUUUAGAUUAUUUGAAUCUAAAAAAACGUGCCCAUUCACUCAGUGCUCCAGAAGGACUUGAGAACUGUCCUUCCCUGGACAGAAGCUGAAACAUUUGGAGAAUUAAGACUGGACCACAGAGAUAGCAGGGUUGUCUUAGCUGCAGCAAGCCAGGACCAGUUCUUCAUCCUGCACAUUACUGUCUGUCUUACACCUGAGCAGAACUGGAAAUAUUUUAGUGGAGCAGUAGCUGAUGGACUACUCAGCAACCCGCACGGCCACCUUACAGCGGAUGUCUAAAUCUGGCCAACUUUCUGAGCAGUGCUGCCUCUUCCAUCCAAAGGAUCUUCCCGCUGGUCUGUUUGAUGAGCCAUUUGCAAGAAUUUCCGAAGCAGUGAAGCAGCACCAGCAUGUGUCCACUGCC